UUGAAGCUUUUAACUGCCUUAUUUGUUUGGAUUCCAAACCAAUUAUGGACAUCUUCCAAACAAACAAGUCAACUACUACGACAUGUUCACAUUCUUGUUGCACUGAUUGCAUUUCUAAACACAUUAUUGCAAAGGUCGACGAUAACAUCCCUAUUGUUGAAUGCCCAGAUGUCGAUUGCCAGGAGGUUAUCGAUUUUGAUUCUUGCAUUACCAUCAUCCCCAACCAAAUUUUGGAAAGAUGGGAGGAAGUAUUAUCGAAAGCUAAGAUUUCAUCAAUUACGGGUUUAUAUUGCCCUUUCAAAGAGUGCUCUGCUGCACUCCUAUCUGCAGCAUGUGAAACGACGUCGUCGAAAGCAGAGUGUCCGCAUUGCAAAAGGAACUUUUGUACAAAAUGCAACGUUGCAUGGCAUAAUGGGAUGGGAUGGAAUGCGCAGAAUUUCAGAAAUUAGGCGAUAAUGAGAAGGCUAAUGAAGAUGUUAUGCUUAGAAACCUCGCUAAGGAUAAGCUUUGGGCAAGAUGCCCUAAUUGUAAGUUUUACGUCGAAAGAACCCAAGGUUGUCGACAUAUCGUCUGUAGGUGUCGUUUUGAAUUUUGCUAUGGUUGUGGAUUAGACUUUCAGAUAUGCAGUUAUGGAGCAUGUGGUUAGGGGCCGGAGAGGAUGACUCUUGAAAGCUAUUAUUACUACAACUUACAAGAUGAUUGAUCGAGUUGGAGCGUGAUUAAGAAAUCUAAUUAAACUUGUUCCAUGAUUAGUUUUUUCCUUUCUUCAAGAGAUUUUAAUUUAUUACUCCGUAAUCUUAUAUUUAGGCCUUUGUUGUAAAGGAGUCUCAUAACUCAAAUUUCCAAGUGUUCCGCUUAG
Molecule: long non-coding RNA, 859 nt
Organism: Spinacia oleracea (spinach)
Lineage: Eukaryota; Viridiplantae; Streptophyta; Magnoliopsida; Caryophyllales; Amaranthaceae
Exons: 3
Source: RefSeq, a predicted model, not a curated record